This 1010-nucleotide ribosomal RNA is filed under the name uncultured Armatimonadota bacterium. Its description in RNAcentral is "bacterial SSU rRNA". It matches the Rfam family "Bacterial small subunit ribosomal RNA", at positions 34 to 1067 of the family's 1533-position model. Lineage: Bacteria; Bacillati; Armatimonadota. The record is from RNAcentral.
CGCUGGCGGCGUGCCUAAAACAUGCAAGUCGAACGGGGUAGCAAUACCCAGUGGCGAACGGCGGAGUAAUACAUAAACAACGUGCCCUGAAGACUGGGAUAUACGGCCGAAAGGCUGAGCAAUACCGGAUGUGGCAGCGUCUCGGCAUCGAGAUGCUAUCAAAUGGUUUUUCGCUUUAGGAGCGGUUUAUGGCCUAUCAGGUAGUUGGUGGGGUAAUGGCCUACCAAGCCGACGACGGGUAGCGGGUCUGAGAGGAUGAUCCGCUCGAGUGGGACUGAGACACGGCCCACACACCUACGGGUGGCAGCAGUUGGGAAUCUUGCACAAUGGGGGAAACCCUGAUGCAGCGACGCCGCGUGGAGGAUGACGGAUCUAGGUCUGUAAACUCCUUUUUCAUGGAAAGACUUAGGACGGUACCAUGAGAAUAAGGACCGGCUAACUACGUGCCAGCAGCCGCGGUAAGACGUAGGGUCCAAGCGUUGUCCGGAUUUACUGGGCGUAAAGAGCGCGUAGGCGGCUCGUUAAGUGUGAAGCUAAAUCUCCAGGCUCAACCUGGAAACUAUUUCGCAUACUGGCGAGCUAGAGGGAUGCAGAGGUUUGUGGAAUUCCUGGUGUAGCGGUGAAAUGCGUUGAUAUCAGGAGGAACACCCAUGGCGAAGGCAGCAAACUGGGCAUCAUCUGACGCUGAGGCGCGAAAGCGUGGGUAGCAAACAGGAUUAGAUACCCUGGUAGUCCACGCCCUAAACGAUGGAUACUAGGCGUAAGAGGUAUCGACCCCUCUUGUGCCGCAGCUAACGCAUUAAGUAUCCCGCCUGGGGAGUACGGCCGCAAGGUUGAAACUCAAAUGAAUUGACGGGGACCCGCACAAGCGGUGGAGCAUGUGGAUUAAUUCGAUACUAACCGAAGAACCUUACCCAGGUUUGACAUCGAUCGNCAGACCCAGAGAUGGGUCCCUCCCCCACAAGGGGACGUGAAGACACCUGGUGCAUGGCUUGCGUCAGUUCGUGCCG